GACGAACGCUGGCGGCGUGCCUAAUACAUGCAAGUCGAACGCACAGUUUAUACCGUAGCUUGCUACACCAUAGACUGUGAGUUGCGAACGGGUGAGUAACGCGUAGGUAACCUGUCUGGUAGCGGGGGAUAACUAUAGUAAACGAUAGAUAAUAUCGCAUAAUAUUAAUUAUUGCAUGAUAAUUAAUUGAUAGGUGCAAUUGCACCACUACCAUAUGGACCUGUGUUGUAUUAGCUAGUAGGUGAGGGAACGGCUCACCUAGGCGACGAGACAUAGCCGACCUUAGAGGGUGAACGGCCACACUGAGACUGAGACACAGCCCAGACACCUACGGGAGGGAGCAGUAAGGAAUCAUCGGCAAAGGACGAAAGUCUGACCGAGGAACGCCGCGUGAGUGAAGAAGGUUUUCGGAUCGUAAAGCACCGUUGUAAGAGAAGAACGGGUGUGAGAGUUGAAAGUUCACACUGUGACGGUAUCUUACCAGAAAGGGACGGCUAACUACGUG
RNAcentral lists this ribosomal RNA (505 nucleotides) under uncultured bacterium. RNAcentral's name for it is "partial 16S ribosomal RNA". It matches the Rfam family "Bacterial small subunit ribosomal RNA", at positions 28 to 507 of the family's 1533-position model. The record is from RNAcentral.